This 509-nucleotide long non-coding RNA is filed under the name Homo sapiens (human). RNAcentral describes it as "HSALNT0112884". The record is from RNAcentral. Lineage: Eukaryota; Metazoa; Chordata; Mammalia; Primates; Hominidae.
ACCAGAGCUUCUCAAAUGUUAAUGUGCAGACGAAUCCCCUGGGGAUCUUGUGAAAUUACAGAUGGGUCUGAGGUGAAGCCUGAGAUUCUCUGUUUCCAUCAUGCUUGGAGGUGAAGCCAGCUGCUGCUGAUUCAUGGGCCAUGCUUUGAGAGGCAAGGGUCUCUAGACAGAAGUUGUCAUUCCUAAUGACUUUGUAAAUCACUCUGAGCCAUGGAAAAAUAAACAAUCGCUCUUAUAGUCUGGCUUGACUGUUCCCUGGGCUGGGCAUGUGCCCUAUACCUGACCAACCAGAGAUCAUUGUAGGACAGAAGGGCGGGGCCAUAUCUGCCUAUGUGACAAUAAUUGUGCCCAUAUAAUGCCAUCAGUGAAUGUGUCCUUUGGAAAAUGAAGCCAAAUCAAGAGACCAUUGAGCCAAGAGAAAAGAGAUAAUUUGGAUGGCAUUGAUAGAUAGAACCUUUGGAUCAAGCACUGCCAGUUCCUAUCUUGACUUCCUCAAUUAUGCCAGCCAG